AUACGACCGUACCGCAAACCGACACUGGUGCGCGAGAUGAGUAUUCUAAGGCGCUUGAGAGAACUCAGGAGAAGGAACUCGGCAAAUUGACACCGUAACUUCGGAAGAAGGUGUGCCCUAUUAGUGUGUAGUGAACAACGAAGCAUGAAUGGGUUGCAAAAAAUCGGUGGCUGCGACUGUUUAUUAAAAACACAGCACUCUGCAAACACGAAAGUGGACGUAUAGGGUGUGACGCCUGCCCGGUGCUGGAAGAUUAAAUGAUGGGGUGCAAGCUCUUGAUUGAAGUCCCAGUAAACGGCGGCCGUAACGAUAACGGUCCUAAGGUAGCGAAAUUCCUUGUCGGGUAAGUUCCGACCUGCACGAAUGGCGUAACGAUGGCCACACUGUCUCCUCCUGAGACUCAGCGAAGUUGAAAUGUUUGUGAUGAUGCAAUCUCCCCGCGGAAAGACGGAAAGACCCCAUGAACCUUUACUGUAGCUUUGUAUUGGACUUUGAACAGAUCUGUGUAGGAUAGGUGGGAGGCUUUGAAGCAGGGUCGCUAGAUCUUGUGGAGCCAACGUUGAAAUACCACCCUGGUGUGUUUGAGGUUCUAACCUAGGUCCAUUAUCUGGAUCGGGGACAGUGCAUGGUAGGCAGUUUGACUGGGGCGGUCUCCUCCCAAAGCGUAACGGAGGAGUUCGAAGGUACGCUAGUUACGGUCGGACAUCGUGACGAUAGUGCAAUGGCAUAAGCGUGCUUAACUGCGAGACUGACAAGUCGAGCAGAUGCGAAAGCAGGACAUAGUGAUCCGGUGGUUCUGUAUGGAAGGGCCAUCGCUCAACGGAUAAAAGGUACUCUGGGGAUAACAGGCUGAUACCGCCCAAGAGUUCAUAUCGACGGCGGUGUUUGGCACCUCGAUGUCGGCUCAUCUCAUCCUGGGGCUGUAGCCGGUCCCAAGGGUAUGGCUGUUCGCCAUUUAAAGAGGUACGUGAGCUGGGUUUAAAACGUCGUGAGACAGUUUGGUCCCUAUCUUCCGUGGGCGCUGCAGAUUUGAGGAAGCCUGCUCCUAGUACGAGAGGACCGGAGUGGACACACCUCUGGUGUAUCGGUUGUCACGCCAGUGGCAUUGCCGAGUAGCUAAGUGUGGAAGAGAUAACCGCUGAAAGCAUCUAAGCGGGAAACUCGUUUCAAGAUGAGAUCUGCCGGGGCCUUGAGCCCCCUAAAGAGUCGUUCAAGACCAGGACGUUGAUAGGUCAGGUGUGGAAGCG
Molecule: ribosomal RNA, 1247 nt
Filed under: metagenome
Description: bacterial LSU rRNA
Rfam family: Bacterial large subunit ribosomal RNA
Source: RNAcentral